GUGGACACCCCUGUUAACUGCUGAGUUCAGAUGCAUCAGCUGCUCUCAUUGUUAACAGCCUGGUGCAGAAAAGCAGCAAAUAGCCAUGCCAACUCCACUGACCCACACUGGCAGUAGAAUGGACUGUAGUGAAGCGUGCAGAGACCUUCAACACGGAACUGGCAUAGGACGCCACCUUUACAACAAGUCAGAAACUGGUACAUGACCCAAUACUAAGAAUGACCAUCUGCAGAACAAGAUGCUGAAUUUACCUGCCAAACUGAAUGUGAACGGAGUGGAGCUGACAUGAGCCUGUGUGUCACUCUUAACACAGCAGUGAGCCCUUCCAUCAGUAGUGGUCGAGUGCUCACUUGUUGGCGUACCUAAUUAGAAUCUGAAGAAUGACAAAAGAUGGAGUUAGCAUGGUAGCACAAAUAAGGUCCUUCAUGGAGUAUGUGAGCCCCUGCUGUGUUUUUCAGGGAGCUGGCUGGAAGGGGGUCAACUGACCCUUUAAAAGAGGACCAUAGGUUGGUAAGAGAGGUAUAGGAAGAGAGCCCCUGGAAUUCCAGUGGGUAUUCAUGAUCUCCGCAGUUAUUAUGGCAUUAGCUCAGAAGUAGGCCCUUGCUGGGGCUUAAUGGCUCCUUGAACAUGGAGUUGGGGAGUAAAUGAAGACAAGAGUUCAACUGGAAGGAGGAUGUAAGGCCACAGGGUCAAAGGGGAAAGUCCACUGAGACACCUUGGUGGGAAAUUGCCCUGCUGCUCUUCCACUAUGGAUGGCACAACUGUUUUGGGCCUGGAGGCCCAGAGAGGUUUCAGGAUUUCUUGUGUGUCUGUGCAUUUUUUUUUGUUUCUCCUAAUAUUCAGUCUUCCAUUGUGUACUUUAUUUGUACUGACUUUCUUUUUAGAAGCUUGGCAUCCUUUGCAUUCAUUCUCAGCUAUGGCACCAGACUGCUCCCUGU
Polypterus senegalus (gray bichir) is the source of this 938-nucleotide long non-coding RNA. RefSeq lists it as uncharacterized. The transcript has 3 exons. The record is from RefSeq and is a predicted model, not a curated record. NCBI's taxonomy places the organism in Eukaryota, Metazoa, Chordata, Cladistia, Polypteriformes, Polypteridae.